CGGCUUGAAAAAGCGGCCGCGCACCGCCAUAUGGGUGUUGCCGGGUUCGCCCGGCUAUGGUGAUAAAUCGUGUCGUAUAAUAGGCGCAGCGGACCCGGGGGCAGUACCCGGCGGCUCCACCACAAAGGCCCUUUUUCGGGGCUUUCUGACGGGGCCGAACUAGGAUCGACGUGUGUUGAAAGACGAUGCUUUCACCCGGCCCGUGUAAGCCGUUAAACUGUGCAAAACUCACAAGUGCCAACGAUAACGAAGCACUCGCCAUUGCAGCGUAAUUGAGGGCCUCACGGCCUGAUAUUACUCUAAAAUAGCGCGGUUGAACCCACCGGGCAACAGAAGGGAAUUCA
This 344-nucleotide transfer-messenger RNA is filed under the name Sphingobium olei. It matches the Rfam family "Alphaproteobacteria transfer-messenger RNA". Rfam says of the family: Bacterial tmRNA, also known as 10Sa RNA or SsrA, is named for its dual tRNA and mRNA-like properties. Its role is to liberate the mRNA from a stalled ribosome. Lineage: Bacteria; Pseudomonadati; Pseudomonadota; Alphaproteobacteria; Sphingomonadales; Sphingobiaceae. The record is from RNAcentral. RNAcentral also lists the same sequence under 1 other name.